ACUAUCAACUUUGACUAGACUUACACAUGCAAGCAUCCGCACCCCCGUGAGAAUGCCCUCUAGUUCCCUGUUUGGGAACAAGGAGCUGGUAUCAGGCACAAAUUUUUUUGGCCCAUGACGCCUUGCUUAGCCACACCCCCAAGGGAAUUCAGCAGUGAUAGACAUUAAGCCAUAAGUGAAAACUUGACUUAGUCAAAGCCAAGAGGGCCGGUAAAUCUCGUGCCAGCCACCGCGGUUAUACGAGAGGCUCAAGUUGAUAGAUGCCGGCGUAAAGCGUGGUUAGGGUAAAAACUAAACUAAAGCCAAACGCCUUCAGAGCUGUUAUACGCUUACGAAGGGCAGAGACACAACCACGAAAGUGGCUUUAUACGGCCUGACCCCACGAAAGCUAGGGCACAAACUGGGAUUAGAUACCCCACUAUGCCUAGCCGUAAACAUUGAUAGCACAUUACAUCUGCUAUCCGCCCGGGUACUACGAGCAUCAGCUUAAAACCCAAAGGACUUGGCGGUGCUUUAGAUCCACCUAGAGGAGCCUGUUCUAGAACCGAUAAUCCCCGUUAAACCUCACCUUUCCUUGUUUUCCCCGCCUAUAUACCGCCGUCGUCAGCUUACCCUACGAAGGUCCCACAGUAAGCAAAAUUGGCACAGCCCAGAACGCCAGGUCGAGGUGUAGCGUAUGGGAAGGGAAGAAAUGGGCUACAUUCAAUAUCUCAAUGAAUACGAAUGGGGGACUGAAAUGCCCCCCUGAAGGAGGAUUUAGCAGUAAGCAGGAAAUAGAGCGUCCCGCUGAAAUUGGCCCUGAAGCGCGUACACACCGCCCGUCACUCUCCCCGAGUCUACAAACUGACAUACCUAAUACCUUAAAACUGCAAAGGGGAGGCA
This 882-nucleotide non-coding RNA is filed under the name Centrolabrus exoletus (rock cook). RNAcentral's name for it is "partial 12S ribosomal RNA". It matches the Rfam family "Bacterial small subunit ribosomal RNA". Lineage: Eukaryota; Metazoa; Chordata; Actinopteri; Labriformes; Labridae. The record is from RNAcentral.